RNAcentral lists this ribosomal RNA (787 nucleotides) under uncultured Lactobacillus sp. Its description in RNAcentral is "bacterial SSU rRNA". It matches the Rfam family "Bacterial small subunit ribosomal RNA", at positions 28 to 776 of the family's 1533-position model. The record is from RNAcentral. Lineage: Bacteria; Bacillati; Bacillota; Bacilli; Lactobacillales; Lactobacillaceae.
GACGAACGCUGGCGGCGUGCCUAAUACAUGCAAGUCGAGCGAGCUUGCCUAGAUGAAUUUGGUGCUUGCACCAAAUGAAACUAGAUACAAGCGAGCGGCGGACGGGUGAGUAACACGUGGGUAACCUGCCCAAGAGACUGGGAUAACACCUGGAAACAGAUGCUAAUACCGGAUAACAACACUAGACGCAUGUCUAGAGUUUAAAAGAUGGUUCUGCUAUCACUCUUGGAUGGACCUGCGGUGCAUUAGCUAGUUGGUAAGGUAACGGCUUACCAAGGCAAUGAUGCAUAGCCGAGUUGAGAGACUGAUCGGCCACAUUGGGACUGAGACACGGCCCAAACUCCUACGGGAGGCAGCAGUAGGGAAUCUUCCACAAUGGACGCAAGUCUGAUGGAGCAACGCCGCGUGAGUGAAGAAGGGUUUCGGCUCGUAAAGCUCUGUUGGUAGUGAAGAAAGAUAGAGGUAGUAACUGGCCUUUAUUUGACGGUAAUUACUUAGAAAGUCACGGCUAACUACGUGCCAGCAGCCGCGGUAAUACGUAGGUGGCAAGCGUUGUCCGGAUUUAUUGGGCGUAAAGCGAGUGCAGGCGGUUCAAUAAGUCUGAUGUGAAAGCCUUCGGCUCAACCGGAGAAUUGCAUCAGAAACUGUUGAACUUGAGUGCAGAAGAGGAGAGUGGAACUCCAUGUGUAGCGGUGGAAUGCGUAGAUAUAUGGAAGAACACCAGUGGCGAAGGCGGCUCUCUGGUCUGCAACUGACGCUGAGCUCGAAAGCAUGGGUAGCGAACAGG